ACUCCUGCGGGAGGCAGCAGUGGGGAAUUUUGGACAAUGGGCGAAAGCCUGAUCCAGCAAUGCCGCGUGCAGGAUGAAGGCCUUCGGGUUGUAAACUGCUUUUGUACGGAACGAAAAAGCUCCUUCUAAUACAGGGGGCCCAUGACGGUACCGUAAGAAUAAGCACCGGCUAACUACGUGCCAGCAGCCGCGGUAAUACGUAGGGUGCGAGCGUUAAUCGGAAUUACUGGGCGUAAAGCGUGCGCAGGCGGUUAUGUAAGACAGAUGUGAAAUCCCCGGGCUCAACCUGGGAACUGCAUUUGGAACUGCAGGGCUAGAGUACGGUAGAGGGGGAUGGAAUUCCGCGUGUAGCAGUGAAAUGCGUAGAUAUGCGGAGGAACACCGAUGGCGAAGGCAAUCCCCUGGACCUGUACUGACGCUCAUGCACGAAAGCGUGGGGAGCAAACAGGAUUAGAAACCCUUGUAGUCC
RNAcentral lists this ribosomal RNA (469 nucleotides) under uncultured organism. RNAcentral describes it as "partial 16S ribosomal RNA". It matches the Rfam family "Bacterial small subunit ribosomal RNA", at positions 335 to 796 of the family's 1533-position model. The record is from RNAcentral.